GUCUCUUCGGAGACAUCCGAUAAAAUUGGAACAAUAUAGAGAAUAUUAGCAUGGCCUCUACUCAAAGAUGACAUGCACAAAUCAAGAAAUGGUCUGAAUUUUU
Molecule: non-coding RNA, 103 nt
Organism: Picea glauca (white spruce)
Lineage: Eukaryota; Viridiplantae; Streptophyta; Pinopsida; Pinales; Pinaceae
Source: Rfam